Molecule: ribosomal RNA, 419 nt
Filed under: bacterium
Lineage: Bacteria
Description: partial 16S ribosomal RNA
Rfam family: Bacterial small subunit ribosomal RNA
Source: RNAcentral
UGGGGGAUAUUGCACAAUGGGCGAAAGCCUGAUGCAGCGACGCCGCGUGGGGGAUGAAGGCCUUCGGGUUGUAAACUUCUUUUGCUCUGAACAAGGCAUGCUAAUGGGUGUGUUGAGUGUAGGGGUUGAUUAGCGCCGGCUAACUACGUGCCAGCAGCCGCGGUAAUACGUAGGGCGCGAGCGUUGUCCGGAAUUAUUGGGCGUAAAGGGCUUGUAGGUGGCUGGUUGCGUCUGUCGUGAAAGCUCAUGGCUUAACUGUGGGUUUGCGGUGGGUACGGGCUGGCUGGAGUGCAGUAGGGGAGGCUGGAAUUCCUGGUGUAGCGGUGGAAUGCGCAGAUAUCAGGAGGAAUACCGGUGGCGAAGGCGGGUCUCUGGGCUGUUACUGACACUGAGGAGCGAAAGCAUGGGGAGCGAACAGG